This is a long non-coding RNA of Triticum dicoccoides, 430 nucleotides long. RefSeq lists it as uncharacterized. The record is from RefSeq and is a predicted model, not a curated record. The transcript is spliced from 2 exons. NCBI's taxonomy places the organism in Eukaryota, Viridiplantae, Streptophyta, Magnoliopsida, Poales, Poaceae.
UGCCCCGCCCGCAUCGCCCCGCCCUCUCCUCUCCCUCUCCUCUCCCUCUUCCUCCCUCAGUCCUCGCCGCCCCGCCCGCAUCACCGCCGCCCCGCCCCUCAGACCACGCCACAGUGGACCUCUCUCCUCGUCUCCCUCGUGCCACGCCGCCCGCAACCUCCCCCCUCCCAUCAUCAGAAUGGAAGGGAAGAGAAGACGGAGCGCGAGCAGGUUCGUCGGCGGCCAAGGCGCUCGCAGAUCCGCCGACGCCAUCGUCUGACCCCGGCUUCCGAGUGUGCUCACACCAUGGACUCCUCGAGACGCCGCCCUCCCUCCUACUCCAACCCUAACCCUAACCCUAGCAUUGCUGCUGCUGGUCAAGGUGCUCGCACGCGUCCAGCAGCGAACCCUAGCCUCGAACGACAGCAGCGGCCAUCACUUCUAUCCUAGG